This is a long non-coding RNA of Xenia sp. Carnegie-2017, 110 nucleotides long. RefSeq lists it as uncharacterized. The transcript has 3 exons. NCBI's taxonomy places the organism in Eukaryota, Metazoa, Cnidaria, Anthozoa, Malacalcyonacea, Xeniidae. The record is from RefSeq and is a predicted model, not a curated record.
GAAAGCAAUGCCAAAGCAAAAAAUUCAUUUAAAGGAAGAUGCUAUAAUUGUGGCCACAAAGGCCACAAAAUGAAUGAAUGCGAGAAAAAGUUUAAUCGUAUGAGAAGAAG